UGUUGAUGUUCAUCAGGGAGACGCCAGGGAUGUUGCGGAAUGCUUUACGGAUACCCUGUAAAUUAUUGCAUAAUUCAUACAGAAAUUUUUCAUAAUCUGUUCGCUUUGAUUAACUCCAUCAACUUUUCAGAAAAUAUACUUUAAGAGAAGAAUGUUUACCUGAUCUUGGCCAUAUACAAUCAGAGGUCCACGUCGCUGAAUGCGUCGGCGAUUACGCAUUUUACCUUUACCAGCACGAAAACGUUGAGACUUGUAGACCUAAUAAAAAAUAAACAAUAUAAUUUAAAAAAA
Long non-coding RNA from Monomorium pharaonis (pharaoh ant), 291 nucleotides. RefSeq lists it as uncharacterized. The transcript is spliced from 2 exons. NCBI's taxonomy places the organism in Eukaryota, Metazoa, Arthropoda, Insecta, Hymenoptera, Formicidae. The record is from RefSeq and is a predicted model, not a curated record.